Molecule: long non-coding RNA, 1656 nt
Organism: Mytilus californianus (California mussel)
Lineage: Eukaryota; Metazoa; Mollusca; Bivalvia; Mytilida; Mytilidae
Exons: 3
Source: RefSeq, a predicted model, not a curated record
ACGACUGCAAAAAUUUUUGAGGUCGUAUAUUGGUAUGACGUUGGCGUCGUCGUCGUCGUCCGGCGUCGUCCGAAGACACAUUGGUUUUCGCACUCUAACUUUAGUUUAAGUGAAUGGAUCUCUAUGAAAUUUUACCAUAAGGUUCAAUACCACAAAAGGAAGGUUGGGAUUGAUUUUGGGGGUUAUGGUACCAACAGUAAAGGAAUUAGGGGCCAAAAAUAAGCAUUUUUGUAACUUCCAGACAUAAUUUGUGUGUAAGUGUAUGGAUCUCUCUGACAUUGUACCACAAGGUUCCAUAUCACAAAAGGAAUGCUGGGAUUGAUUUUGGGGGUAAUUGCCUCCAAAUUUUAGGAAUUAGGGGCCAAAAAAGGGGCAAAAAACAAGCAUUUUCUAGUUUCAUGACAAUAACUUGUGUGUAAGUGUAUGGAUCUUUCUGAAAUUUUACUCAAGGUUCCAUAUCACAAAGGGAAAGCUAGAAUUGAGUUUGGGGGUAAUUGCCGAAACGUUUAGGAAUUGGGGGCCAAAAAGGGGCCAAAAAUAAGCAUUUUUCUAGUUUCCAGACAAUUACUUGUGUUCAAGUGUAUGGAUCUCUCUGAAAUUGUACUGCAAGGUACCAUACCACAAAGGGAAGGCUGGGAUUGAUGAUGGAGGUAAUUGCCUCAAUAUUUUAGGAAUUAGGGGCAAAAAAGGGGCAAAAAAAAAGCAUGUUUCUAGUUUCAGGACAAUAACUUGUGUGUAAGUAUAUGGAUCUUUCUGAAAUUGUACUACAAGGUUCCAUAUCACAAAGGGAGAGCUGGGUUUGAGUUUGGGGGUAAUUGCCCUAACGUUUAGGAAUUUGGGGCCAAAAAGGGGCCUAAAAACAAGCAUUUUUCUAGUUUAAGGACAAUAACUUGUGUGUAAGUGUAUGGAUCUUUAUGAAAUUGUACUACAAGGUUCCAUAUCACAAAGGGAGAGCUGGGUUUGAGUUUGGGGGUAAUUGCCCUAACGUUUAGGAAUUUGGGGCCAAAAAGGGGCCUACAAACAAGCAUUUUUCUAGUUUCCAGACAAUAACUUGUGUUCAAGUGUAUGGAUCUCUCUGAAAUUGUACUGCAAGGUACCAUACCACAAAGGGAAGGCUUGGAUUGAGUUUGGGGGUGAUGAAUCAUAAGGGGGUUCAAAAAAUUUGGGGGAGGGAUUUUUUUCACAAUCCAAAUUCAGUGCUGUAUCAAGCUUGAAUGUUGUGUCCAUACUUGCCCCAACUGUUCAGUGUUCGAUCUCAGCGGUCGUAUCAAGCUGCGCCCAAGCGGAGCAUUUUAUUAGUUUAUAUUUUGUUGCCAUUCUUAGUUUCAGUCUAUCAAAGUUUUCCAGAUAUUAGGCAAAAAUACUAAAAUUGGUCAAAAAUAGUCAUUUUUGGCUGAGACUACUACAAAACAUAGUAGUCACAGUUUAAAAGCUAUAGAGAGGUGUCAACUGAUGUUUUUUGACCAUGUUGACUUAUUUUGAAAGUGUCUUGCUAAUAAUCAUUGCUGAUGUUUUUAUUUAUUACACAGCUACUUAGCACAAGCAAUCUUGAUGAACAUCUGAUAAGAUGUAUAAAAACUACAUUUGUUGAGAUGUAUAUAAACUGUACAUUUGUUGAGAUACAUUUAAAUGGACUGUGCACAUGUUAAGAUGUAU